GUUGAGUUCAAUCCCCAGUACCAAAUCAAGAAAGAAAGAGGGAGGGAGGGAAGAAGAAAGAGAAUAGGCUAAUCUACUCCUGUAACAGGAAUAUGAAGUGAAAUAAUUCUAACUAUGUUACACAGCAAAGGAGAUUUAAGGCAGCAGAAGGGAUUAACUUUGCUAAUCUGAUGAUCUUAAAUAGGAAGAGUAGUUGGAAUUUUCCAAGUGGGUCCAAUGUAAUCACAAAUAUCCUUAAACAAGGAAGAUGAAGGGACAAAUCAGUGUCGGAGAGAUACAGCGUGAGAAAGAUUUGACCUACCAGUGCUGGCUAAGAGGAUGGAAGGAAACCAGGAGUCAAGAAAUGUAGGCCACUUCUAGACUCUGGAAAAGGCAAGAAAACUGCUUCUUCCCUAGAGUUUCCAGAAGGAACACAGCCCUGCCCUGAAACCCAUUUCAGACUUCUGCCCUCCAGAACUGUAACAUAAUAAAUUUGCUUCUUUAAGCCAAUUAAGUUUAUGACCAUUAGUUGUAGCAGCAAAAAGAAUAUAAAUACAGGGCUGGGGUUGUGGCUCAGCCAUAGAGCACUUGCCUAGCACAUUCGAGGCCUUGGGUUCGAUCCUCACCACAUAAAAAUAAAUAAAUAAAAUGAAGGUAUUGUGUCCAACUGAAAAAAAAAAAAAAAAGAAAAGAAAUACACAGGGUUUAAGAGUGAAGACCAGUAACAGAUACAGAACUAAAGGGUUGAAUGAGGGUUUCUCUGCCUGUUGCCAUAGACUCCUCUCUCUAGUGGUGGUCCAGAGGAAACCCAUCACUCCAAGUUUUCCAAGAGUGUUAUCUUUUUUUUUUUUUUGAGUUUUCGGCAGACACAACAUCUUUG
This 859-nucleotide long non-coding RNA is filed under the name Marmota monax (woodchuck). The record is from RNAcentral. Lineage: Eukaryota; Metazoa; Chordata; Mammalia; Rodentia; Sciuridae.